Long non-coding RNA from Hyla sarda, 859 nucleotides. RefSeq lists it as uncharacterized. The record is from RefSeq and is a predicted model, not a curated record. NCBI's taxonomy places the organism in Eukaryota, Metazoa, Chordata, Amphibia, Anura, Hylidae. The transcript has 6 exons.
CUUUUUCUCUCACACAGUUUGAUAAAUCUUGGCCUAAGAAUUUUUGGUAAUCCAUAUAGUUAAGAAGAAAGUACAGGCAACUCACCACGUUGUAGUAACUUCGUGUUUAUUACUGGGACAUGCAGGAACUUCAACAGAUCGUCUCCAUUCACCUGUGCACGUGACUAUAUAUCUCCUCCUUCAUCUGUGACGUCGUGCCGAGGGCAGAACUUUUUACUUCAAAAUGCGGUGGAUACGGAGGUAUUGACCCCAAAACAGAGAGAUUCUUUAUUACCCAAUGAUCCUAUGAUUGCAUCCAUUUACCUGUUACCUAAGUUGAAACCCUGCCAUCGCAUCUAAAAGAUGGCAAUGAUGUUUUGAGAAAAAUUGACAAUAUACAAUUGGAGGAUAACAUGAUUAUUGCUACGUGUGAUGUUAAAUCUUUACAUCCAUCCAUCAGACACCAAGAAUUGAGGAGGGUACUCCAGAUGAGCUGGAAGGAUUUAUUGGAUGACUGGACUCCAACUCCAUUAACCCCUUUACCCAACAGCCUGUUUUGACCUUUAUGACCAAGGCAAAUUUUCAAAAUCUGACAUGCGUCCACUUAUUUGAAUGUGAUGGUUGAUAGUAUUCAGUUCUUUGACAAUGAGCUACACAAGAAUGGAGUGUCAUAAUGUGUCAACUGCAAUCUGAUUCGUCUUCAGCAAUUCUACUGCCUGAAAAGAAAGCAAAAGGAAGCGCUCUCCUCCAGUUCUCCUCUAGCUUAUUAAUACUUGGAAAUAGUGGUCCUUGGACUUUUGUAUAUGUUUAAUUUUUGGAUGUUAGCACCUAUUCUGUCUCUCAUAAUUCUGUUUACUGGUUAAGACCAUUAAAUCACCUU